RNAcentral lists this ribosomal RNA (429 nucleotides) under Chloroflexota bacterium. RNAcentral's name for it is "Chloroflexi bacterium partial 16S ribosomal RNA". It matches the Rfam family "Bacterial small subunit ribosomal RNA", at positions 355 to 776 of the family's 1533-position model. The record is from RNAcentral. Lineage: Bacteria; Bacillati; Chloroflexota.
UGGGGAAUAUUGCACAAUGGGCGCAAGCCUGAUGCAGCCAUGCCGCGUGUAUGAAGAAGGCCUUCGGGUUGUAAAGUACUUUCAGCGGGGAGGAAGGGAGUAAAGUUAAUACCUUUGCUCAUUGACGUUACCCGCAGAAGAAGCACCGGCUAACUCCGUGCCAGCAGCCGCGGUAAUACGGAGGGUGCAAGCGUUAAUCGGAAUUACUGGGCGUAAAGCGCACGCAGGCGGUUUGUUAAGUCAGAUGUGAAAUCCCCGGGCUCAACCUGGGAACUGCAUCUGAUACUGGCAAGCUUGAGUCUCGUAGAGGGGGGUAGAAUUCCAGAUGUAGCGGUGAAAUGCGUAGAAAUCUGGAGGAAUCCCGGUGGCAAAGGCGGCCCCCUGAACGAAGACUAACGAUCAGGUGCAAAAACGUGGGGAGCAAACAGG